CCCCUCUCAGGAUGGCACCUGGAGAGUUUCCAGCCCUCUACCAGUCUCGACUACGGGAGGGAGAGUCAAGCAGAGGCAUAGCCGUUCCAUUCCUAGCUUGGGCGGUGGCUAGCGAGGGGAAGGCAAUCCGCUACAAGU
Molecule: small nucleolar RNA, 138 nt
Filed under: Ornithorhynchus anatinus (platypus)
Lineage: Eukaryota; Metazoa; Chordata; Mammalia; Monotremata; Ornithorhynchidae
Source: RNAcentral